RNAcentral lists this microRNA (21 nucleotides) under Schmidtea mediterranea. RNAcentral describes it as "sme-miR-2171". The record is from miRBase by way of RNAcentral. Lineage: Eukaryota; Metazoa; Platyhelminthes; Tricladida; Dugesiidae.
GUGAUGGAAAUCGCUAUUUCA